UAUUAAAAAUUUCAUCCAUUUGUAUUGAUAAAAACUAGCGUGAUUGAUAGAAUGAAUAAACAGUCAUACAUGGCAUGUCACGUGUACUUCAUGCUAAUGUAUAGAGACCAAUUUUUAACCAUAAAAAUUGAUAAAAGUUUUAACA
Gossypium raimondii (Peruvian cotton) is the source of this 145-nucleotide non-coding RNA. The record is from Rfam. NCBI's taxonomy places the organism in Eukaryota, Viridiplantae, Streptophyta, Magnoliopsida, Malvales, Malvaceae.